CCUACGGGUGGCAGCAGUGAGGAAUAUUGGUCAAUGGGCGGAAGCCUGAACCAGCCAAGCCGCGUGAAGGAUGAAUGCCCUGCGCGUUGUAAACUUCUUUUGUCAGGGGACAAAGUGCGGCACGCGUGCCUUCCUGAGUGUACUUUAUGAAUAAGCAUCGGCUAACUCCGUGCCAGCAGCCGCGGUAAUACGGAGGAUUCGAGCGUUAUCCGGAUUUAUUGGGUUUAAAGGGUGCGUAGGGGGGCGGUUAAGCCAGCGGUGAAAGCCGGGGGCUCAACCUCGAAGUGCCGUUGGAACUGGGGGGCGUGAGUACGGUGGAGGCAGGCGGAAUGCGUGGUGUAGCGGUGAAAUGCUUAGAUAUCGCGAAGAACUCCGAUUGCGAAGGCAGCGUGCCGAGCUGCCACUGACGCUGAGGCACGAAAGCGUGGGGAUCGAACAGGAUUAGAUACCCGAGUAGUC
This 459-nucleotide ribosomal RNA is filed under the name uncultured bacterium. Its description in RNAcentral is "partial 16S ribosomal RNA". It matches the Rfam family "Bacterial small subunit ribosomal RNA", at positions 338 to 795 of the family's 1533-position model. The record is from RNAcentral.